This is a long non-coding RNA of Amphiprion ocellaris (clown anemonefish), 959 nucleotides long. The record is from Ensembl. NCBI's taxonomy places the organism in Eukaryota, Metazoa, Chordata, Actinopteri, Pomacentridae.
GGCAGAAUAAAGUGGCGCUUGUAGCGAUCAUACUUUCUAGGAAUUGUGAAGCAACAACGCUACCAGCCCAGGCACCCCUAGGCUGGAGGCUGGUAACACCUGUUUGAAAAAGAGAAGAACAGGUGUUGCUUCCGGAGGCGACGAGUAGCAGAUCAGUUGCAGAACCUCCAACUUUAUAAAUAAAGUUUCAGGUAGGAACUUCCUGUUUUUGGUCUGCAGUCACCUGAGUGAGUGGUUGAAGGAGUUUGACAUGUAGCUUCUGAACUACAGUCAAUAACCAUGGCAGUCAUCAUGGCAGCCAUCAAGACAUUAUUACAGGAGGAACAUCAUCAACCCUCAUUCCUUGUUGCUUCCUGGUGGUUUGUGAAACCUUAAAUCCAGAACACACGGUCCUUAAACGUUCCACACAGUGACUUAAAACUGCCUAUUCAGACACUGAUGGUGUUAAAUGGAUGAUAAACCCACUGAUGAAGGGCAGGAUCUUUCCACUGAGUAUACGGAUGAAUGCAAAGGUAUCAUAGACUCAACAAAGCUCAACAUGGAACAAACUUGUCUCAGACUUAAUCUUUCUCAACCUCAACCAUUAGUAGUUGCUCUUAUUUACCAUCAGCAGGUUUUAGUCCCACAGCAAGAGGAUUCAUUACUCAGUUCAAGUUCACUCUAGUCUCCCUGCUGGCUUAGAAGUUAGUAGGAAUUCUGGCAACUUUUUCUGGCACUCUUGCUGCUAGAUUUACAUGGCGUUUAACAGUAUUUUUUUAAAAUGUUUUUUUUCAGUAUUUUUAACAAUUUUGCUGAUUAAAAACAAUCAUUUUGUUGUAAGAGAACUAUUAUCAUCUGCUUUAGCCUUUUAUGAUUAGCAAGCAAAUUAAAACACUUCCUUCUGUGAUUUCACUUGUAAUCUGUAAUUUAACUAAAUCAAAGUGGGGAAAUCUGUAAAAUAUCUGUAGACUGGUUAAGAA